RNAcentral lists this ribosomal RNA (402 nucleotides) under uncultured bacterium. RNAcentral describes it as "bacterial SSU rRNA". It matches the Rfam family "Bacterial small subunit ribosomal RNA", at positions 359 to 776 of the family's 1533-position model. The record is from RNAcentral.
GAAUAUUGCACAAUGGGGGAAACCCUGAUGCAGCGACGCCGCGUGAGUGAAGAAGGUCUUCGGAUCGUAAAACUCUGUCCUUGGUGACGAAAAAAAUGACGGUAGCCAAGGAGGAAGCCCCGGCUACCUACGUGCCAGCAGCCGCGGGAAUACGUAGGGGGCGAGCGUUGUCCGGAUUUACUGGGCGUAAAGGGUGAGUAGGCGGUAAUAUGUGUCAGAUGUAAAAGGCUAUGGCUUAACUAUAGUACGCAUUUGAAACUGUAUUACUUGAGUGCAGGAGAGGUAAGUGGAAUUCCUAGUGUAGCGGUGAAAUGCGUAGAUAUUAGGAGGAACACCAGUGGCGAAGGCGACUUACUGGACUGUAACUGACGCUGAGUCACGAAAGCGUGGGUAGCAAACAGG